UUUUUUUGCGCUCACACAGAUUCAGAAAUGAACACCAUGAUGAUCAGCCUAGCCUCUCUCACUGCCACCAUACUCACUCUCUCUGGACUGGAGGCAAUCGUCACCCUAACUCAGGAGAAGUCUAUAUCUGCCAAACUUGGCCAAAAUGUGCAGAUUAGAUGCACCAGGGACAGCGGUCGCUGGAAAAUAUCCUGGUACCAGCAGAAUCCAGGCAGUGCUCCAAAGUUUUUGCUCGCAGACAGCAACAGGGCAUCUGGUUUAGCCAGCAGAUUCACCUACACUGAUAAUGGACUGAAUGAGUACCUGAACAUCAAUGGAGUGACAGCGGACGACGAGGCAGUGUACUACUGUGGGUGCAUCAUCUGUGACAGCCACCACAGUGUGACACUUCCCUAUAUCUCCAAUACACUAAACCUCUUAUAGCCACAUACAGGCAUUAACAUGUAAAAACCUCCACAUGGACUGAUACCAUGUCAGUAUGCCUAUCAGACUGGAUCAGGUGAUGACUGGGACCCAACUUCCUGUCUAAUGGAUGACCAUUUCCUGCUGUUCAGCCAAGCUGUCCCCUGAAUUCCAGGAGCAGUGGAGCAUGGCUCCCCAUUGCAAACAGUUGUGCUGUAGCAGAGGGAGUUUAUGUACGGCGAUGUAUCACUGUGCCACGGCAGCAUUGGUCAAGGCACACAGCUGACUAUUACUGAUGCCCGUCCCCAAUCCCCCCCUGAGCUGGUGGUGCUGGCCCCCUCCCAGGCCCUCUCCUCUGGGGACAGGCCUACUGUGGUGUGCCUGGCUCAGGGCUUCUACCCUGAUGGUGCCACCCUGAGCUGGUCAGAGGAUGGCAAAGAAGUGGCGGCCACUGACUUCCAGACGGGCCCGUCUCAGCGCCAGUCUGAUGGCACCUUCUCCCUCAGCAGCGUCCUGACGGUGCAGCCGCAACGCUGGCACUCUGGCCGUUCCUACAGCUGCCAGCUGCAGCACUCUGCCCUCUCCAGGCCUCUGAGCAAGGCUGUGGACAACGCUCACUGCAGCUAGACGGGGAGAGUGUAGGCAUAACUGUACUCCCUCAUGCUUGCUCUUCCUAACUGAAUUGCUUCUUCAAACCUUUUUUUUCUGAAAAGCAAUGGUAUCUUGAGUGUGUGCACAUUUUAUGACUACUUGUCUGCUUAAAUGUGUGGUACAUACUAUUAUUUUAAUAAUUAGUGUCAAUAAUUAUCUUUUUUAAUUUUAA
Molecule: non-coding RNA, 1225 nt
Organism: Engraulis encrasicolus (European anchovy)
Lineage: Eukaryota; Metazoa; Chordata; Actinopteri; Clupeiformes; Engraulidae
Source: the annotation of a RefSeq genome assembly